RNAcentral lists this transfer RNA (87 nucleotides) under uncultured Desulfobacterium sp. RNAcentral describes it as "transfer RNA-Leu(GAG)". It matches the Rfam family "tRNA". Rfam says of the family: Transfer RNA (tRNA) molecules are approximately 80 nucleotides in length. Their secondary structure includes four short double-helical elements and three loops (D, anti-codon, and T loops). Further hydrogen bonds mediate the characteristic L-shaped molecular structure. tRNAs have two regions of fundamental functional importance: the anti-codon, which is responsible for specific mRNA codon recognition, and the 3' end, to which the tRNAs corresponding amino acid is attached (by aminoacyl-tRNA synthetases). tRNAs cope with the degeneracy of the genetic code in two manners: having more than one tRNA (with a specific anti-codon) for a particular amino acid; and 'wobble' base-pairing, i.e. permitting non-standard base-pairing at the 3rd anti-codon position. The record is from RNAcentral. Lineage: Bacteria; Pseudomonadati; Thermodesulfobacteriota; Desulfobacteria; Desulfobacterales; Desulfobacteriaceae.
GCCGAAGUGGUGGAACUUGGUAGACACGCUAUCUUGAGGGGGUAGUGUCCUACGGGCGUGCGGGUUCAAAUCCCGCCUUCGGCACCA